Long non-coding RNA from Mus musculus (house mouse), 15042 nucleotides. RefSeq annotates it as predicted gene, 38649. The transcript is spliced from 3 exons. The record is from RefSeq and is a predicted model, not a curated record. Lineage: Eukaryota; Metazoa; Chordata; Mammalia; Rodentia; Muridae.
UAAAUUACUUAUUUAUUUUUAUGUAUAGGAAGGGUACAUUAUAGCUGUCUUCAGACACACUAGAAGAGGGCAUCGUAUCCCAAUACAGAAGGUUGUGAGCUACUACGUGGUUGCUGGGAAUUGAACUCCUGACCUCUGGAAGAGCAGUCAGUGAUCUUAACUUCUGAGCCAUCUCUCCAGGCCCCGAGACCUUGUCUCUUUUAGUUACCUUUCUACAAAAUCCUUGUGUGACUUGGUGUUAAAGUUUAAGUCUAUGAAGUGGAUUGUUCAUUAAACGAAUAUUUAUCGGUGGACACGAGGGUACAAAAGCAAUCAAGGCCACUUUCUCGCCUAUAGGCGCUCCAUCCAUCCACCCAUACACCCACUGCCCCUCACUAAUGCUUUUGAGUCCCGUUAAAUGCUCAGUACUGCAUGUUUAAGAUUGUAUUUGGAACAUUACUUUGUCUCUCUGUCCUGAUUGAUAAUCCUCUCAAGUUCGGGGAAUUUAAAAAUUUAGUUGCAUAUAUGCCAAUGACUAACUUUCUGACUCUGAAAGAAAAAACACUGAAUUCUGAGUAUUUGUUUCUUUUCUGGUAAGCCGGGGUUUAAGAUCUCAUUCCAGCCUCACCCCACAGGGAUACUGGGAAUGUCCAAGGAGGUGGAGACAUCCAAGCACAAAUGUGCUCUCUCUACUGUGAAGUCCCAAACACAUGGAAGAGAUUCUGUGCCAGAAGAUGUAAAACAUGACACCCAAAUCCACACAAACAAAACCAAACUCAGACCGCUUCUCGGAGCUGAGGCAGCUGUUGUCAUGGUGAGAAAAAUCUGCCAUCAUUCAAAGAUGCCACAGUUGGACAGCAAUCAGGACAGGCAGUCCAGUGCUUGUUAAGGCAAUCCUCUGCAGAGAGAGGAGACCAUGAGCAAUCUCCAACUAACAUUUGAGUCAAGUGGCUACCAGGUCUUCACCCUUGCUUGGACUCCAGAUGGGACUCGUUGGCUCUUGUGUACUACAUGUUGUUCUGAAGGCUCAGCAGACCUCGGGAUCCCUCUUCUUUCUGCUUUAAAACAAACCCUUGCCUUGGCUGCCUUUGUUCUUAGGAAAUGCAGCUUUAUCGUAAAUGAAAAUGAUCCCUCAAGGCUGACAUACCCACACCUCUUGUCAGGCCAGGGUCUCCUCCUCCACACAGUAAUCAAGAGCAAUAGGCAUGGAAAGGAGGGAGGAAAAGAGGGAAAAGAGGAGGAAAGGGAGGGAGAGAGAGAGAGAGAAAGGGAUGGAGCGAAGAAGGAGAGGAAGAAGAAAGGAAGGGAGAAGGAAAGGAAAACAGGGAGAAAAUGAAUAUAGAACACAGCAAAGCAAAAAGAGUAACAGAGCAAGCGAUGAGAGAAUCCAUAUUUCAAUAGAUAUCCUUUCCAGAACCACGAGUAGACCCAAACUCUGGAGUUUCCCUGUCUCUGUAUUAAUGCUCCCUUUUCCCGGUGGGAUGCAUAAUACGGUCAGCAUGAUCUGAAACAGCCAGGCCAACAGACAUUGCUGGCGUAGUCCCUGUGGAGACAAAGACUCACCCUUCUCUGUGCAUGCCCACUUACAGGGGCUAGCACAGUUUCUGAUGAGAUACCCAGAAGGUAUUCUGUUCCCUGAGUCUCUCUCCUUCCCUCUGGACCAGCAUGCCCUUGGCUACCCUUACAGCAUCUAUAACAACAUGGAUAAUAUCUGUCAUUGAUAGUAUCUGCCUCACAUGCUCUGGGCCAGGCACUGAACACUUCGGCCUCUUUGCAGAGAUUUCAAGCCCUCUUUUGGGAUGUUCCAUUGGUUCAGGGUCCUGGACCUGCUUAGGAGCAGUCUAAUAGACAUUGUUUUCUACUAACCUGUGUGUCUCUCCCUUCUUUUUUGUUGUCUUAGGACAACAACUAUGGAGUUCAGGCUGGUCUCCAACUUGCAAUCUUUCUGCCUCGGUCUUCUGAGUGCCAGGAUUACAGGCAUGCAGCAUCUUGUAUUAUACUUUUUAAAAGAUGGCAUGGCCGAAUCUAUUGUGGGGAGGCUAUUAGGGCACUGCACUGGGAAGAGAAAAGACCUAACUUCUUUUCCCAUAGCUUUUUGUUGUUUUUAAGGAAAGCUUUCAGACACACAAAAAGCACAGCAUAUGUAUAUACCGACCACCCAGCUUCACCAGUUGAUAUUUUGCUAAUCCUAAUCCAUUGAUCCCCACUCCAUCAGCUGUUACCCUAUAAAGCCAACAAGGGGCAUGGGCCAUUUGUCUGUUACCUUUCGGCAGUUUGCUCUUUCUUUCACUGUUUAAAGACUCAGAGGCUCUGGAUGGCCCAGAUCAAUUUCUGGUACUUUACCACAGUGGAAAGAGCACAGGCAUAGGGCUUGCAUUGCUCCAUACGAAAUGAAGCAAGCCUCUACCAAUGGCCCUUCAUUUAAUUAUUCUUGAUAGGCCAACAAUCGUUCACGUCACUUCAUAAUUAUUAUUUACCGAAAAACAAGGGAUAGAGGGGCUGGAUCGAGUGUCUGUGGUUAGGAACAUUGGCUGCUUUUCCGGGUUCAAUUCCCAGCACCCACGUGGCAUCUUACAACCACUUGUAACACCAGUUCCAGGGAGCUGACAACAGACAAAAAAGCAAGUUGUCUCAGGCAAAGGUUUUGAGGAAGAUGGGAGACCAAAGGGAGCUACAGAGUCUCUGCUCAGGGAACCCGCUGAAGAAAUGGGGUUCAAAAUAUCACCCUUCUUCUGCCGAGCUUUGCAGGAUUUUGUGAAGAGGCGAAUGUUGUGGAUUAGUCCAGUGGUCACAGGGCUGAUUAGAGUGCUCUGAAUGUAGGAACUGUGUAAAGAAUAAGGAGUCUGAAGACGUGGAUCAACUGUGCGUCUACACUGCUCAUUAACUAUUUAUGCGACCUGCUUACCACGUGGGCUUAAUCUCUCUGCAGCACAGUAAUGAACUGAUCCGCCAACAUCUCACUCACUGUUUCCACACAUGAAAACUCCCUGAGCUGUCCUGGUUUUCCUUUGCAGGAGACGAGGCUCCUGGCGCAGGACUUGUAGACAUGAGCAGAUCCAUCACCAUUGGGUCUUUGGCCUCCGAGGCAAGGCACUUGCCCAUCUGUGGUCCCUCCUCAGGCUCUGAUAGGACCUGGGACAUCUGCAGCCCAGACAUUCUUUAGCUCUGACCAUGCCUGAAAUUUUGCAAAGAAAAGGCUCCUCUCCUCAAACUGCCAGAGAGCUGAGGUGAUCUCCAGGUGCACACUAGGUGUUGAGCUUCUGUGAGUUGGAGGCACCUUAGAGCAGUGGGUCUGGGGAAUUGAAAACGUCCUGAGGGCCUGGUCCCUACCUCCCAGGGAGACUCGAGUGCAGCCAGGUAGAGAGGCUCUGCUUCAAAGCAGGUGCCGAUGCACACGCCUCACCUUGCUUCCUUCCUCGGCCUUCUUUGUCAGAGUCAUCUUUUUGCCUCAAAGCUUUUGAGAUGGAAGAGACACAUUCUUUUUAGACUUGACGAUUCAGGUCGUGCUGGCUUCAUAAAAUCAAUUGAGGGAGAUUUUCAUCUUAUUCUUUGGUCUCAAAUAGUUUGAAUAACAAAGGACCUUGCCUGGGUUUUGAAGACUACUACUGCUCAGUUAUAAGAUGAUGGACUUUAAAAAGGAGUGUCCCUUUAAUAAGCUUUCUAAUGUAUUGUUAUUCUGCUUUCUAGUGUAUUGUUGUUGUGCUUUCUAAUGUAUUGUUAUUGUAUAUUCUAAUGCUAAUGUAUAUUCUAAUGUAAUGUGACGUUAGUAGUCUACUCGGAUGCUUUGUUUCUUUGGGGGUGUAAGUAGGAGAACUGAUACAAAGUGACUUUGCUUUCUCUAGACUAUUGCCAUAAAUGUCCUAAUACAAUGGUUGUAGGAAGUCCCACACGCCUCUCCCAAUUGGGUGAGUGCAGCUCCUUCCCCUUGUGGUCUUGCAGACCAAGGAUUUUACAAACAUCCUCCAUGCUGACAAUAACCACCAAUGGCGCAUAUCCCACGUAAUUCCUCCUGCUCUACUCGGGAUAAUUCAUUUACUUCUCAGGGCAAUUCAGCCACGGAGGUACAUAGAAGCCCACACCUCACACCUCACACCCCACACCCCACACCCCACACCUCACACCUCACAUUACAGAUGAAUUCCUCAGCCUUGACUGUGCAGGGACGUUAACUGGCCUAUAGGUCACAUGGUGGCGUGCAGCCUGAAUAUUCCACCUAUUACCAUCUGUGUAUGAGAGACAGGAAGAGCACGAACAGUUAAGACUUUCGCCUAUUGUAUGAUUGAUUACAUUAUUCUAGAGGUCAAGUGCAUGCAAUCUCAGAACUCAGGAGGCUGAGGCAGAAAGAUCGUAAGUGUGAAGUCACAUACAUGGUGAGAGCCUGUUUCAAUAAAGGCAAGGGCUGAGAUACAGCUCGGUGGUAGAAUGCUUGAUUUGCAUGGAGCACAUCCUGGGUUAAAUUCCUGUCUGGCAACACAAAAAUUUAAGAGGAAAAAAGAAUUAUGACAAAGUAGGAGUGUGUUUCAUGUGGUCUAUUUAUAGUUGUGUGGCCAGAGAUGGCUUCACUGGCAAAGGGUGGCCUUACAGAUUGAAGGCUAUGGGCUCUAAUAAGUAGGUGGAUUCUAUACUAUGUGACCCUUUUGGGGACCUGGUUCAAGGUCACUUAUCACUUAAUUGCUUUGAAUGGUCACUCAGACAAUGAGAGAGGCCUUUACAGAAAGCACAGAGUGUUCACGAAUUGACACUGAAGAAGCAGACAGUGAGCGGCUGUGAUGGAGACAGGGCAAUCACACGCCACAAACUUUGUAUGCCAGUCGCAUUGAAAAAUGUUCUAGCUGGCACUUGGCUGUUUCCACAGUAAGGCCUUUUCUUACCUCUUCAGUUUGCCCUUCAGGAAGUUCCUGCACUUGAUACCAACUGCUUCUCACCACUCGCCAGCAUUCCCUUCAGACAGACAGCCAUGUCAGCCAGUCAAGCCAAACUCCCAGCACUGUAUGCCCUUGCAUGCCUGCCUCUGCCCCUUGGCUGCUACUAUCUCCACUACCAAGAACUCCCCGUGUCCACUUUGGUUAUCUAAAUACAAAGAAUGCUUCAAGGAAGCUCUGUUUCCAGUCCUUCCCCCCCCCCACCACCACUCAGCCCUUACAUGUACCAGGUAUGCUAGUACUUCAUAUUUGUUGACCAACUCAGUCUUCAAAACAACACUGUGGACUAGGUUUUCUGGUUUGUUUUGUUAGUCACUGGGAAAUCUGAAGUCCAGUAAUUUGCUGGUAUUUAGUAGCUGGGCUGAGAUUUGAACUCAGGCAAUUUGGCUCCAGCGCUUGUCCAGUUUCAUGCCUUGUGGACAGUAUUGUGAUCUACUGAGUUCCACACUUUUCCAUCACCCUUUACCUGAGAGCAAACUUCUCCCUAAAUGGUCAUGGGCCUACUAUACCACCGUCUCCACUAAAACACACUGAAACUCUAUUCUGAAUGGGUAGCGCUAAGUGGAGCUGUUCACAAAGCUUGUGACAUUUGUUAGAUCAUGAGGCUUGGUCACCAGGGAGAGGCACUAUUAGGAGGUGUGGCCUUGUUGGAGCAGGAGUGGCCUUGUCGGAGGAAGUGUGUCACAGAGGGUGGGCUUUGUGGUUUUCAAAUGAUCAAGCCAGGCACAUUGCCUCUCUCUUCCUGCUGCCUACCAAUUUGGAUGUAGAACUCUCAGCCACCUCUCCAUCACUACAUCUGUCUAUGUGCUACCAUACUACCCAUCAUGAUGAUAAUGGUCUAAGCCUCUGCAACUCUAAGCCAGCUCCAAUGACAUGUUUUCCUUUUUAAGAGUUGCCUUGGUCAUGGUGCCUUCCCAGCAAUAAAACAGGGACUAAGACAGAGAGCCACAAGAACAAAUAACAGGUAAAAGGACAGAAUAUGAACCGAGGAUCGGAAAGGCCAAGGUCUGUGCUCGACCCAGUACUCAGCACUACUGCUGCGGAUGCUCUUACUGUGGCCCAGUGUAGCAGCACAAAGCUGGGUUUGAAUGCAGUAUUCACUGUGCUGCGGCUUCAUGGGAGUUGCAGGAGGCGGCUGCCUUGCUCAGAAGCAAUGACAGAACAACUCAGUGCUGGCUCCUGGCAGAUUAAAGAGGCAGGUCAGGUUGUUCUGAUCACCACCUCUGUCUGUCAAAGAAAUUAGCUCUCUGGGGCUCUACAUGCCCCUCAGGGCAACAAGGCGAGGACAGCCACAACCACUUGGGAUUUUUGUUUUUUGUUUUUUUUUCAAUUUAAAAGCCAAUGGCUAUUCAUAGAAUGUGGCAAGUGGCCCCCAUAUUGGGUGCUGGGGACUUCUGACCCACCAACUAUCGAUGCUUACAGUGCCAAGGGGGGCGGGGGGCUCUGCUUCCUUUCAGGACCUGCUGCGAAUAUUCUGGUGGUGACAACUCCCUCCAAAUCUGCUUGCUGACUGGGAGGAAAUGGAUCUUUCUGCCUCGGUAACAGCAAAAUUGGUCUCUGCAUCUGUGAAAAUGAUGUUCUCCGAGACAGCAAUCCCAAAUAUUAAUCAAGUAUCAACCGCUGACUCGAGUGGAAAAUAGAGCAGCGUCUCCACUCAAGUCUUGUUUGGAGCAGAGUGAAGGGUGACUUAGGAGGAAGCCUGUGAAUGGGUCUCAAACCACACGGCGAGGUAGAGAGCGGGGGCUGCAGACCCUGGCGUCAGUGGUGCCACUGCACAAGGAGGCUGUGUUCCUGGGCCUCAAUUUUCCCAUUUCUAAAACGAGAACGAUGACUAUCUGAGUCACCGAGGGAUAAUAUGCAAGGGCCCGUGGGGACAGCCUGGCUCGCAGAGGCUCUGUGCAGGAGCAAGGAUCUAUUAGACACAGUCGAUACAACUAGAAGAGUAAAAUCUGCUGGGGAAAGGGACCUUCCACUUUCUCCUUUGCCGCUCCUGGCCUUAAUAUUUCGGAACAUUACAAGGCAGGGGUUGCUAUAAAGGGCCCUCUAUUUUUUCCCUAGUCUUGGGAUUAGGGUAUUAUACCUUCCUGAUUUUGAUGAUUUUACCAUUUGCUUAGCAUGUACUCAAAUAUGCUGUGCCCAGGGCGAGGGAGCCUCUGUCCGGCUUGUUCAGGUAUCUCUGCUGCCCAGUGCAAGCCUAAUGGGCUGCUUUUCCCUCCCUGUCUUUUCUUCCUCAGAACUUUCUACAUUUCCAGCCUUAGGUCUUAUCACUCUCAGAAGCCUCCCCUCACCUCCCAAACGGAUACCCUGAACCCAAGGGAAACACAAACUACUCAGGGAAACAAUGGAGGAUCUCUUUAUAGCAUCCCUGGCUCUCGUAACUUUCCAAAGUGUUAAGGCCAGGAGCGGCAUAGUAGACAAAAGACACAUGACAGCUGAAUGCAGCAUAAUUCCGGAUUUAAAUUGCUUUUUUUGGUUUGUGACAUUGUUACAAUAUAAAAUUGAGGAAAUGAAAAGUUUCCUGAUUUUGAUGAUUUUAUUGUUAUUUAAAAGAAAUACUGUUAAUUUUAGGGUAUUCAUAUUCAAAUAUUUAAUAAGUAAAUAGAUAUGAUACCUGAAACUUACUCUGAAGCAGUUCAGAGAAAAUAAACAGGUGAUGUAUCAGACACACCCACGUGUGUGCACAUAUGAGGAAGCGGUGUUUGGAUUACUGUCGUAUAAUUUUAAGUGCCCUUGUUCCCUGAAGGAGAAUGACCCAUGGAUGACCAGUUUCCUGGUUCCCUCGAGUUCAGCAUCUCAGUUUUCCACGUGAACACUGGAUCAGGAUCCUACGGAAUCUCACCCCACUCCUCAUGUCAGAUGAGGCAAUGGCGGGGCUCUGAGAGACCACCUAACAGAAUCCUUCUAGAAGAUAGUCACACUCAGACGGGUCUCAGGUUAACUCCACCAGCCAGUGUUGGGGCCGGCUCUGGAUUCUAGGCACCCUUUCCUCUACUUCACACUACACAGCUGUGCAAUCCCCAGGCUGCAAAGGAGAGAUGUGUGUGGUAUCUGGAGUCUGUGUCUGUCCACUCCAAAGAGGCCACGAUAUGGACAGUGUGAGGAAGCUGUUCUCGCCCCUUAGUUCUUGGCCCCACGCAGCACCUGUGUACUAAUAACCUCUUAGGUCCAUUUCUGCACAUCUGACCUCGGCCUGAGGGGCAGGAAUCCUGCUGCUGACUCUGAGCACUAACCAGCACUGCUCACAGAACACGAGAAAGCCAAAUGCUGGAUUCUCGCAUGCCUCUGCCUCUCCUUAUCUUGGGUUCAGAGUUCAACCAUUCACUCAGUGAUCAAAGAUGGCUUGCAUCAACACAUCAAACUCUUACUAAUAUAUACGGGCUUUGUGGUUGAGGUACUAGCCAAUAAAAAUAAAUUUAGUUAAGAACAUAGAGCUUGUGAAAUUAUUAUAUAGAAGGGAAAAAAGAUAACGGGCCACCGAGAAGUGAGAUGGCUCGGCGAGUAACGGUGCUUACAGUCAAGCCUGAUGACUGGAGUUUGAUUCCAGGAAUUCAUGUGGCAGGAGAGCAGGAGAGGAAGGAAGGGCUCCUGAAAGCUGUCUUCUGACCUUCACACACACACACACACACACACACACACACUACAUAUAUAUGUGUGUAUUAUAUGUAUAUAUAUAUUGUGUGUAUACACAUAGAGAAUAAAACAUAAAAAGAUUUAUGCUGUUUUUGAAAAGAUAAAAGAUAAAGAAGAUGGAGGAACUUUCUCUGUAAGUUUGAAGUUUGUCUGGAUCCAUACUUCACAGCCCAGGCCGACUUUGGAAUCCAUGGCUGUCCUCCUAUCUCAGCCUUCCAAGUGCUGCGAUCACAGGAGAGAACCACAAUGCCUGUUCGUCCUUCCUUCCUUCCUUCCUUCCUUCCUUCCUUCCUUCCUUCCUUCUUUCCUUCCUUCCUUCCUUUCUCUCUCUCUCUCUCUUCCUUCCUUCCUUCUUCCUUUUCCUUCCUUCCUUCCUCUCUCUUCCUUUCUUUUCUUAUUUUUCAGGACUGGGUUUCACUGUGUAGCCUUGGCUGCAGACUAGCUAGGCUGGCUUUGAACUCAGAGAUCACCUACGGCCUCUGCCUCGCAGGAGCUGGAAUGAAAGGCAAGCACCCCCACUGCCCAGUUUAGGAAAGAAGAAAGUUCAAAGGAAGUUGACGGUAGCUGAGCUUUGGUUUUGGCUUUCUUCCAUGGACUCCUUUCCUUUUAUUCACGCGCGUGCAUGUGUGUGUGUGUGUGUGUGUGUGUGUGUGUGUGUGUGUGCAUGUGCCACACGUGUGUGGGUGCCAGAAGGUGCUGGACCCACUGGAUCUGGACUUACAGGUGGUUGUGAGCCGUCUGAUUUUGGUGCUGGGAUCUGAACUUGGGUCCUCUGUGAAAGCAGGAAGUACUCUCGGCCAUUGACCCAUCUCUCCAGUCGAUGCGGUUUCCUUAACAUCAAUGCCUUUAUACCGGUACAUCACACCUUUACUAUGCAAGCUCAGGGGUUGUUAGUUGUGUCAUGAGAGCAGAGGACAGAAAGGUCACAGUUGUCACAUACAGGACAGCCACUAAGAGAGGCUAUGAAACCCCACCCUGGGCACUGAGGACAAGAUGAAGCAUUACUUAGUGGCCUUUUGAGCUAACAGAUCUGGAACCGAGCCGGCAUAUCUACCAUCUCCUCCAUCAGGUCCAAACUCACUGUUGAGAGCCACUUUGGCUGAGUUCUAGACACAUUAUCCUUUUAAAAAAAAGACCCAGGUCAGAAGGAUUUUCUCUGUGCUAUAAAUAGAGCCUUCAUGCACCGACACCACUGGGCUACACAGGCAUCUACCACAGGGGCCUUAUGUCAUUCCCCCACACGCACUUGCAACACUAUGUACAGCCCACAUGUACUUCAGAGGGUGACUGCUGUGACUUCCAAGGAAAGUUAAGCCCCUAUUUCCAGCCCCAGAGCCUCUUCUGCCUUUAACCUGUAAGCAUUUCAGACAAUCUAUUUUGUAAACAAACGUGGUGAAUAAUAGAAUUUUAUAUUUAUGAUAAUUAUUUUUAAAAUGAUACUUAUCAAUCACUCUUUGGAAUCUGUACCGGUUUGCCCACUGCUCCUAAAAACAAAACUGUCAUUGGAUGGUGGCUCUUCCUGUUGGUCAUCCCCAGAUUCCUGUGUCUUUAACCCUGGCCAGUCACUGGCAGGUGAGGGUGGCAGACCUCUUUAUGCCAUUAUAACAUACACGAAGGGAGACUGGUCACAACACACCACAGGGUGACUUCUCACAGAUUGAGGCCCACAAACUCCAGCCAAGGAAACCCCCCAGAAAAGGUCGGGCAGCUCAUGCUUGUGUCCAAUGCUUAAAUGUAGAAUCUAUGGGGCAGGAAACUGGGAAGGGGAAAGGGUUAUCAAGUAGGGAAGACCAGGAUCAAUGUGGAACUCCCAGGCCUCAGUUAGAACCCCAUAGUAGGGUGAAGGUCUUAUGUGGCUUUUGACCUUGAUAGGAAAAUCCUGUGGCAGCAAGGGCUCUUUUCCACAGAGCUAAACACAUACACCUGCUUAGGACUGAAGCUGAAGAAGAUUCCAGAAGACGAUAGAACAGUUGCCGUCACCGCAGACAGCUGAGUGACAAGACACAUGUGGCAAAGUGGCUGUAGCGCCUCUUCAUAUCCCGUUCUCCCAAGAAGUUCUCGAGUGGCUUAUCUGGGAGAGCAACCUGCAAGGCAGGGAAUUCUGGGAAAUGCAGUCAGUCUUGUUCCCAUGGAUACCUAACAGAGCACCUUGGGUUUUGCCUGAUCACUAGGUUCCCACCUGGGUUACACUGGGUGGGAUUCUGGCUUCCAUGUUUCCUCCAAUGUGUAGUUAUGACUAAGAUGUUCUGUCAACUGAAAAGGUGGUUCGAACCUCACUACUGACUUCACUUGGAUUCCUCGAAGAUCAAUUCUACUGGUUCUUUGGUCCUAAAGGUAGCAUAACAUGUCCUGUUUGUCUUUGUUUCCUUCCUUUCUGGUGCUACAGAUGGCACCCAGGGCCUUGCACACGUCCCAACCACUCGGGUUGUUUUUUUCUAAGGCCCUCACCUUGUGUUUCUCAUGGUCCUGCCUUCCAUGUGUGCUGUGUCUCUUGGUUAAUGUAGCCACAGCCCCCUGUUGCCCUCAGCACAGCACCUGUGCCCUGCAUGACCGAUCCCUAGUGCCCUGGUGCUAAGUGGAUUAGGAACAAGGGGUGGAAGAUUCUACACUCAUCCUGAUGCCACCCAGAUUAUGGCCAACAACUCGGACAUUUUCACUGUUAAGCUUCUAAAUGAAGCAGCUCUUUCUUGCAGGCACACACUAAUUAAGCGAUUGAAUACAGCAAAGUGGUCAGUGCAUACUGAACUGACACAGAGCAGCUGGUGGGAGCUUGGCUACAGGCUCCUGACUGGCCGAGCCGCAGCUUCGGAGUCCUCAAAGAUGGCUGGAGGAGAACCGUAAGAAAUAUAUAUGUAUAUAUAUAUGCCUGGUGCUAGCAGAGGUCAAAAGAAGACAUAAGAACCCAUAAAACUGGAGUUACAGAUGCUUGUGCACCAAGACUUAUGGGUACUGGGAACCAAUCCCAGGUCCCAUGCUAGAGUAUCAAGUGCUCUCAACUGCUGAGCCAUCUCUCCAACCCCACAAAGGUCAUGUUUUUUUAUACAUACAUACACACACACACACACACACACACACACAGAGGCAAACAUUCAUAUACAUAAAAUAAAUCUAAAAAAGGUUUAAACAAGGGUUUUGGGAUGAACUUGGAUCUCUCUCUCUCUUUCUCCCCCCCCCCCCACUUUCUCCUUCUCUCCCUUUGGGAUACAAUCCCAUGUAUCCCAGGGAUGGCCUUAGACUCCUGAUCCGCAGGCUGGCCUUUCCCUUCCAAGUACUGGGAUUGUGAGGCUGCACCUCUGCACAAUUUUGAGUGUGUGUUUUCUGCUGCUGCCAUUCCCCACCGCCUUUCUAUCCCAACAGACAGCAGAACAGUGGAGUCACCCAUUCUGAAUGCUGUUUCGUUUCUGAGAACCACAACAGCAAGUCUUUCCUGGAUCUGCCGAUACACCUGCCUGAGAUAGACAGGAAGCCUCAGGAGACUAGGCCCUGAAUCUUCAUUCUUUUUAUCUGCAUCUCCAGCAGGGUCUGGUAGGAAGUACAUUGGAUGUGGGGCUCUAAGCCUUGGGUUGUAGUUACAAUUCUGCCCCUCAAAUGCCUCUUAGCCAUUCUUAGCCUCACAUGCCUCCUCUGGUUCAUGUGAUGUCCGGUAUACUUGAGACAGUGCGCACAGACACCUCCAGGCUCCAGAGUGCUGUGCAGGAGGACAGGUGCCAGGGAGUUUAGUUAGCAAGGGCUGUCUACUGACUGGCUUUCUUGUGCAGUCCAGGGAGACACCAUGUGGGAGGAUCCAUGGUAAGGUGCCCAUGAGGAAACCCUCAGUGGUGGAGAUAAGGUUACCCAAUGUCCCCAGGACAGUGCAGAGCGACAGCAUAUGCCUCCUCAAUAGCAAUCUUGGUAAGUCCACACAGUGCCUGCCAGUCUGCGCCCUUAUUUAUGAGUUCCUUUUGUCUAUCCAACACACGUUUCCCGAGUACCUACUAUGAGAACUGAAUGAUAGCAAAACCAGACCAAGCCAAUAUUCCAAUAAUCUAGCCCAUUCAUAUUAAAUAGGUGUGGGUUUUGGACAUGUGUGUUGAAGAGGGGAUGACCAGUAGGGUCCAGAAAGCUCAGCAAAAGUUUUUGUGGGAUUCUAGAUCUCAACUGAAAAAUAUUAACAAGUUCAGAUGAACCCUGAUAAGAAGUCAAAGAGAGGGUGAAACUUCUGCCCUUCACUUCUGAGGCCCUUUCUGUGUGUCACUUCAAGUUUCCAGGGUCUCGUUCACAAUGACCCGACACUAUUGAAAUGUCCCCAUGGCUUACUAAUACCUCCAGGAUCUUCAUCUAAUAGGAGUGAAGGCCUUAAACAAACCAAUCACAAGCUAGAAGGAGGGUCACUUUACAGGAGACACUAGGACCACAGUCUUAGGAUAGCCACCCCUUGCAGCCUGGCAUUUAAGGGGACAAGAGAGGAAAUAGGCUCUGCGAUCUCCACGCUAAGGAUGAACAGGGUCCAGGAAGCUCUGACAGCAAGCAGGAGGAAGGCCUGUGAGGGUCCAGGUCUGAUUUAGGGGAGGAGGCAGUGCAGGCUAAAGCAUAAAUGUUUAUGCAACCACAGCUCAGAGAAGCCCAAUACACAGGCUACUUCUACUCAGCCCUGACCUUGGCAGCAGACAAACACCACAGGGCGCUUCCAAAUCAGAGAUGCAUUUUAUUCUAUGACGUCACUUCCAAAGCCCAAAUUCUUGAAAGACAGGCCGUGAGCUCACCAUAUGGACUCCAUAAGAGACAAUCUUGAGGAAACAAAGUGCAGACACUGAAAACCACACAGCAGAGGUACUAUUCUGAGCAGACACCUCAGACACCAUACAACCAAUGGGACAGGACUGUGCCAAGUCCCUAGGCUGCAGGGUGUUGGCCUCCCUCUGAAGGAGCCGUUUAUAGUCUUUAAGAUUCCUGGUGCUUCAGGCAUUGCCGCAGAGGGCCAUAGCCUUAGGCACUGGCCUGUUCUUCCCCUUUUUACACACCUUGAUUUGGUGUGGUUGGUUUUGAGACAGCCUCCCACUGUAGCUCCUACUGGUCUAGAACUCCCCCUGGCCUCCUCCCUCAGCCUCUUGAGAGCUGGGAUUAUAGGCUUGGGAUACCACACAUAGCCUUUGCAUGCCUGUUCCUCAUGGUCUGUUUCUUUCCUUGCAAACUGAUCUAUUAAAGACUGUGCAGUCUAACCCAGUUUGCAGUACAGCCAUGUGCACUCAAUUUUAAUGAUACUAUCAGCUGAAAAUCAUUCUGUUCUCCCAGCCUCAUCCUUACAUCCUUACAGAUGAUACAGCCAACGGUCUCUGUUUUCUCAUGAUUGCACGGGCCAAGGGAUCCUUCACAAUAGAGGAUUAGUGAUGUGGGCAAGAAAGACCCUAAAACAACCAGGGAGGAAUCUCAGAAGUUAGGCCUAACUGGGCACAGGAAUUCCAGAAUUCCCUGAGCCCUUUCCUCUCCCUGGCUGCCCUCCCAGCCCUUCUCCAAUCCUGUCUCUGAGCCCAGCAGUGAUGUCUGCAGGGAAUCCAGAGCUUAUCAGGGGAAUAAACCUAUUACGGCUUCUAUCAGCUCACUUCUCAUGCCUGGCGAGCUGGGCUAAGUGUGUUGCAUGCAGUAAGACGGUUAAUCCUCACUCGACCCCCUCCGGAAGAGCAUGAGCGGCUCGUUUUCCAUCCCCAGGAAGGUUUAAGCCUAAGAAGAGCCUGAGUCAGCCAAGGUGAGCUGAGCAGGAAACUCAGCUGCAAGCCUGGUUCUGGAAGUUCUGAGGGAUCACUUUCUUCUACCUGAAACUGGAGGUCUGGCUUCCUGUUUCUGAACAAUGGAAGGACUCCACAGUGCUGCAUCUGUUUCUUCUGUGGAGACUAGGAGGAUGGAUCCAAGGUCACACCCAGUGCUGCUGCCCCACCAUACAGCCUCGGCAGCAGUCCUCAUCUGCUGGGCUCGGGCUUACACUAUCCUGAAAGGUGCCAGACGUUGCUGUUGACAAAUGCACCAGGGCCUCAGUGCUCUUCCUUGCCAGUCUGUAGGCAUCUGUUCAAAGCGACCCCUCGGCUGGUAAGGUCAAGGAUUUGAACACAGGGCUGUCAAGGUGAGUCCUUGAUCAGGGUGAUGUGUUGAAGACAGAAACACAUAUGAGUCUAUCCUUGCUCUUGAGCCAUCCCUGCUGAAGCCCAAGGGCUGCCCCAACCUGCUUAAAAGCCUCUUUGAAGACUGCCUCUUUUCUCAGUUCAGCCUUGAGCCCAGUGCAAGACCACUGGGCCUUGGGACACGGGAAUAUUGCCAUCGGGGAGGGAGAGUGUGCUGUUAUGAAGCAAGAGCAGACCACAUGCUUAGUCCCUUCAGCGUGCUCCCGUUUCCUUCCCUGCUUCUGAAUCAAAGGGUCAUAGCCCCAGAAAUCCUUAAGGAGAGACCAAACAGUUGAGGUCGCUUAGUCUUGGGUCAGCCAGUUCCUCUCUGUUAGCCUCCAACAUUAUGAGCUAAAUAAACCUGUUUUCUUUACAAGGUA